RNAcentral lists this transfer RNA (74 nucleotides) under Rhodothermaceae bacterium RA. It matches the Rfam family "tRNA". From Rfam's summary of the family: Transfer RNA (tRNA) molecules are approximately 80 nucleotides in length. Their secondary structure includes four short double-helical elements and three loops (D, anti-codon, and T loops). Lineage: Bacteria; Pseudomonadati; Rhodothermota; Rhodothermia; Rhodothermales; Rhodothermaceae. The record is from Rfam by way of RNAcentral. RNAcentral also lists the same sequence under 1 other name.
GUGCCCGUAGCUCAGCUGGAUAGAGCGUCUGACUACGGAUCAGAAGGUCCGGGGUUCGAAUCCUCGCGGGCACG